GCCGGGUGUGGUGGUUCCCACCUGUAAUCCCAGCCGCUCGGGAGGCUGAGGCAGGAGGAUCACAAGUUCAAAGCCAGCCUCAG
RNAcentral lists this small RNA (83 nucleotides) under Marmota monax (woodchuck). The record is from RNAcentral. Lineage: Eukaryota; Metazoa; Chordata; Mammalia; Rodentia; Sciuridae.